GCGAGAUGCCAGGGCCUCGAAAUAGAACAAAACCGGCCGGGGGGGAGGGGGAAGGUGAGGGUCUCGGAGGACAGAGGGGGAUAGAGAGCUCUCUGCAGACGCCGAAGACCCAAGCAAGCCUGCCGCCUACCUCUCCCCGCCCCACAACUGCUAGGCGCGGAGACCGCGGCCUGUUACCCGCGCCUCCCGGGAAGCUGAGGAAGGUCCCGGGAAGGCUUCCCCGCCGGCUCCUGCUAAGAGGUCCGCAGACCCUAGCCCGGUGUCCCCCUCCCUCUCAUAACGUUCCCCGCACACCGGCACAAACCUCUGGCUCAGGAACCGCAGCAGCUUCGCUGUCCACGGCAGACGCAGAAACGCCGUUCACAAGCCUUUUCCCAGAAGCCCCCGGCACGGGCUGCUUCCGUUCCGCGGGCCUGAGGAGGCGGGGAGAGAGAUGAGGUCUUCCUGUGUUUCCCAGACUGCUCUCCAACUCCUGGGCACAAGUGACCCUCCUGCCUUGGCCUCCUAAAUUGCUAGGAUUGCAGGCGUGAGCCACUGUACCUGGCCUCCAUUCUAUUCCUAAUUCCUUCUAAAAUACUACAUGGAAACCACAGUGAGGUUUUCCUCACUAAGUUACUCUUUUGAAGGCAGACGCUAAUAACACCUGCUUUGAAACACCAUCCUUCUGAGGUCCUCUGGGAUUUUUCCUGAAUGGUGGCCCUUGUUGCCAUCUUAAAGAUCUAGUCAAGAUAAAACAUCAUGUUCCUCUGGACAACCUGAAUGGAGGGAGCAGCUUCAUACCAGGGCCUGACAAUCUUGCACAUAUCCACAUAGACCACAUAGGCAAUGCCUGAACCACAGCUGAUCUGAGUCUUGGUAGAACACCUUGGUGUCCUCCCAGAAGAUGAGCGCAAUGAGAGACUUGUAAGCAGCUACUGCAAGGCCAUUUCCCACUCAGCUCUCUGUCUUCCAAAGAGACUGUCAUGAGGCAGUUUCUCAUUGCUUCCCGGGUUCCAGUGAGCCAUUCUGCCUUAGCCACUUAGAGUACAGCCACAGGUUAUAACAAGGCUUAGCUGCAGCAUGGCAUUGACCCCUCAGCAACAAGGUGUCCACAACAUAUGCUGUAGUCAUCGAGCCCCUUCUGUUUUGGAGUCAUUAUUUUGGUAUCUGAGACAAAAGCUCGUGGAGAGCUGGCACUUGCUUUUGCUUUCAAUGUCUGUGUAAAUAAUAAUAUGUCUAAAUUCAAAAAGGGCUCAUUUCUUUACCAGCCAAAUCUUUCAAACUUGUCUUGAUACCAAACAUCUGAUUCAUUAAUUAAUGGUAAAACAAACAAAACUACCAGACAGAUACCACCUGAGUACCAGAAAUAUAGAGAUUAAUAAAAUGAAGUCAUGAUUCCUUCUUUGUUUUUCCCUUUAAAAGAGAUGGGGUCUCACUCUGUUGCCCAGGCUGGAGUGCAGUGGCGUAAUCACAGCUUGCUGCAGCCUCGAACUCCUGGUAGGGAUCCUCCCGCUUCAGCCUCCUAAAACGCUGGGAUUACAGGUGUGAGCCACCAUGUCCAGCUUGAUUCCUUCUUUUAACAUUACCAUCUCUUAUUACGGAAAUAAACAGCAACAACAGGAAAAAAAAAAGUAUUCACAAGGCAGUGUAGAGUGCUACUAGAGAAGAGCAGAAUGCCUGUAAGGGCUCCUAAAUGAGAAGGUGUGCUGAGAGGGAAGGGAGGCACCCUGAAAUGGAGGAAGCCAGCAAGAGUUUUCAGGCUGGGCAUGGUGGCCUGCACCUUUGGUCCCAGCUACUCAGGAGACUGAGUUGGGAGGAUUGCUUGAACCUGAGGGGUUGAGGAUGCAGUGAACUGUGAUCGCAUCACUGUACUUAAGCCUUGUGGACAGAGCAAGAUCCUGAUCAAAAAGAGAAAAAAAAAGAAGUGUUCACAUUGGAAGGAAAGCAUAGACCUUCAGAUUUGGUGUUAUCAGAUUCCAUCCAAGACUGAUUUUUUUCCAGGCUUUGGAGCUCUCAAUCCCAAUUCAGCUCAAAAUUAUCUCCCUCUGGGCGCUUUCAGUACAUUGCUUAAAUAUUCCAUUUUAGCUAGUAAGUAUACAGUAUGAGGAGUCUUUUGAUUGCAAGUGACUGAAAACCUAACAGGCAAGCAUUGUUAGCUUCCUACACAAAGUGCUUCCCCUUACUUCUAAUAUACUCCUGAUUUUUUGGAUGGAGAGCUGGGAGUGUGCCCAGCUGUAAGAAUAAAUUGUAAUUGAGCUAAGCUA
This is a long non-coding RNA of Piliocolobus tephrosceles (Ugandan red Colobus), 2243 nucleotides long. RefSeq lists it as uncharacterized. The record is from RefSeq and is a predicted model, not a curated record. Lineage: Eukaryota; Metazoa; Chordata; Mammalia; Primates; Cercopithecidae. The transcript is spliced from 2 exons.